GACGAACGCUGGCGGCGUGCUUAACACAUGCAAGUCGAACGGAAAGGCCCUGCUUUUGUGGGGUGCUCGAGUGGCGAACGGGUGAGUAACACGUGAGUAACCUGCCCUUGACUUUGGGAUAACUUCAGGAAACUGGGGCUAAUACCGGAUAGGAGCUCCUGCUGCAUGGUGGGGUUGGAAAGUUUCGGCGGUUGGGGAUGGACUCGCGGCUUAUCAGCUUGUUGGUGGGGUAGUGGCUUACCAAGGCUUUGACGGGUAGCCGGCCUGAGAGGGUGACCGGCCACAUUGGGACUGAGAUACGGCCCAGACUCCUACGGGAGGCAGCAGUGGGGAAUAUUGCACAAUGGGCGGAAGCCUGAUGCAGCAACGCCGCGUGCGGGAUGACGGCCUUCGGGUUGUAAACCGCUUUCGCCUGUGACGAAGCGUGAGGGACGGGAAUGGGUAAAGAAGCACCGGCGAACUACGU
This 466-nucleotide ribosomal RNA is filed under the name uncultured bacterium. RNAcentral describes it as "partial 16S ribosomal RNA". It matches the Rfam family "Bacterial small subunit ribosomal RNA", at positions 28 to 506 of the family's 1533-position model. The record is from RNAcentral.